RNAcentral lists this ribosomal RNA (425 nucleotides) under uncultured bacterium. RNAcentral describes it as "partial 16S ribosomal RNA". It matches the Rfam family "Bacterial small subunit ribosomal RNA", at positions 354 to 796 of the family's 1533-position model. The record is from RNAcentral.
GUGGGGAAUAUUGGACAAUGGGCGAAAGCCUGAUCCAGCAAUGCCGCGUGAGUGAAGAAGGCCUUCGGGUUGUAAAGCUCUUUUACCCGGAAAGAUAAUGACUGUACCGGGAGAAUAAGCCCCGGCUAACUCCGUGCCAGCAGCCGCGGUAAUACGGAGGGGGCUAGCGUUGGUCGGAAUUACUGGGCGUAAAGCGCACGUAGGCGGUCUUUUAAGUCAGAGGUGAAAGCCCGGGGCUCAACUCCGGAAUUGCCUGUGAAACUGGAAGACUUGAACACGGGAGAGGUGAGUGGAAUUCCGAGUGUAGAGGUGAAAUUCGUAGAUAUUCGGAGGAACACCAGUGGCGAAGGCGGCUCACUGGACCGUUGUUGACGCUGAGGUGCGAAAGCGUGGGGAGCAAACAGGAUUAGAAACCCGGGUAGUCC